Long non-coding RNA from Symsagittifera roscoffensis, 496 nucleotides. RefSeq lists it as uncharacterized. The transcript has 3 exons. Lineage: Eukaryota; Metazoa; Xenacoelomorpha; Acoela; Convolutidae. The record is from RefSeq and is a predicted model, not a curated record.
GAUGGAUUAUGAUAUGAUUUUCAGAUAGCAUUUGAGGGAGUCCUCCCAACCAACAAGCGUUGCAACCAACGUUGGCAAAAUGACUCGUGGAAACCAAAGGGAGUUGGCCAAGGCGAAAAAGGUGAAGGACAACACUGCCAAGUCUAAAGCAAGUGCAAAUGAGGGUCUCAACCGAGAACAAAUCAAAGAAAGGGAUGCUGCUCGUAUGCGGGAGAAACAGGAAAAGAAUGCUGAGAAAAAAGGCAAAGGAGACUCCUCUAAAUAGCAUUAUGCCCUCUUGCAAUACAGUAACUUGAAAUCCUGGUGAGCGGACACCUGAAAACUCUAGAAACACCUUCAAACCUUUGGUGUGCAGUGAAAGGUUCAGAGCAAAUGAUGUACAUUUCGUUUUGAUGAAUGACUAGAAUAAUUAAUCUCUACUGUUAGAAAUAUAUUUUAUACUUCGAAUGUUUUGCGAUGGAUUAUUGUUUUUCGAAAUUGUAAAGUUUGACCAUGU